UACGUAGGGGGCUAGCGUUGUCCGGAAUUAUUGGGCGUAAAGCGCACGUAGGCGGCUUAGCAAGUCGGAUGUGAAAUCCCUCGGCUCAACCAAGGAAGUGCAUCCGAAACUGCAGAGCUUGAGUACUUAAGAGGAUCGCGGAAUUCCCGGUGUAGAGGUGAAAUUCGUAGAUAUCGGGAGGAACACCAGUGGCGAAGGCGGCGAUCUGGGAAGAUACUGACGCUGAGGUGCGAAAGCGUGGGGAGCAAACAGG
RNAcentral lists this ribosomal RNA (253 nucleotides) under uncultured bacterium. Its description in RNAcentral is "partial 16S ribosomal RNA". It matches the Rfam family "Bacterial small subunit ribosomal RNA", at positions 524 to 776 of the family's 1533-position model. The record is from RNAcentral.